GGACCCGCACAAGCGGUGGAGCAUGUGGUUUAAUUCGACGCAACGCGAAGAACCUUACCAGGUCUUGACAUCUACUUGACCAUCGGAGUAACGUCCGACUUCCUUCGGGACAAGUAAGACAGGUGGUGCAUGGUUGUCGUCAGCUCGUGUCGUGAGAUGUUGGGUUAAGUCCCGCAACGAGCGCAACCCUUAUCUUUAGUAGCCAGCAGGUAAAGCUGGGCACUCUAGAGAGACUGCCGGGGAUAACCCGGAGGAAGGCGGGGAUGACGUCAAAUCAUCAUGCCCCUUAUGAUCUGGGCUACACACGUGCUACAAUGGCGACUACAAAGAGAAGCAAAGCUGUGAAGCGGAGCAAAUCCCAAAAAGGUCGUCCCAGUUCGGAUUGUAGUCUGCAACUCGACUACAUGAAGCUGGAAUCGCUAGUAAUCGCGAAUCAGAAUGUCG
This 444-nucleotide ribosomal RNA is filed under the name uncultured Bacillota bacterium. Its description in RNAcentral is "bacterial SSU rRNA". It matches the Rfam family "Bacterial small subunit ribosomal RNA", at positions 917 to 1359 of the family's 1533-position model. Lineage: Bacteria; Bacillati; Bacillota. The record is from RNAcentral.